Molecule: non-coding RNA, 126 nt
Organism: Caerostris extrusa
Lineage: Eukaryota; Metazoa; Arthropoda; Arachnida; Araneae; Araneidae
Source: the annotation of a GenBank genome assembly
ACGGCCGUGCCAUGCAGAAUAUACCGGUUCUCGUUAGAUCACCGAAGUCAAGCAUCAUUGGACGCGAGCAUCCGAGAACGGUCAGUACUUGGGUGGGUGACCACCUGGGAACACCGCGUGCCGUAG